UGACAAGUCAUAUUCUUGAAGAGAAUUGGAGAAGCUCGAAAGUGGAUUUAAAUUUAAUGGACCGAUUGAUGCAAAUCAAUCAAAGUAAAGAAGUGGACUUUGGAGUAAAUAAGGACAAGGUUAAGAAAUUAUGAGAUAGAGUUCGUGUAUCGGAUUUAACCAAGCACGAGAAGAAGAUUAUAAGAGAAAGUUACGGUCGGAAAUCUGGAUGGUGAAAUCAUUAAAUGAAAAAAAAUAUAUAUAUAUGUCGGAGAAUUUCACGAAAUUUUGGAAGGUAAGAUGAGGUUAAGUACAAGAGUCAUUAACGGAAGAAUGGAAUAAGAAAGUUAAUCGUUGGAAGGACGUGUUAAGAACGAGUAAUGGAGGAGUCUUAUCCGGGGUUGUUUUAGUCAGGUAAUUUUCGAGGGCGAAAAUUCUGUAAGUGGGGGAGAGUUGUAACAUCCCAAUUUUUAUUAUUAGAAUAUUUAUUUAUUGUGGCGUGUAACUUUCGUAAUUGAAUAUUUCGGUAUUUAUGAGUUUAGACUUAAACUGCUAACUAGAGUAAUUAAUAGAUGAGAAUUUCUUUAUGGAGCUUUAGGUAAGUUGUGCCUAAAAUAAAUAGAAUGAGUAUUAUGUUAGUAAGUUAGUAGAAUGGGGGGUGUGAAUUGGAAUUUUGUAGAAAACCUAACUAUAAAAGCUAGUUAGUAAGAGAAAGAGUCAUUAUUCACAUUUCUUAGGGAAGUUAGAAAGAGAGGCUCUAGAAACAAAGGGAGGAAGAAACGAAGAAGUGAGAACCAAGCUCAAAGAACAACCAAGCUUCCAUUUUUCAAGCUUCAUUAGAGAUUAUCAGGUUGUGUAUGUUUGUCGGUGUUCGAGUUGUUGGUGAAGCUCCGCUAUGAUUAUGACACGGGGAAGGGUUUAUCGAGUCUUGUACUUGUAUUCUUAUUUUAUUGUAAAUGUAUUAUUUUAGAAAAUAAUUUUUAUUAAGCGAGGUUUAUGCUAAUUAGCAAUGUUCUUGAAGUAUGUAAUACCUUAAACCACUAUUUUAUAUUUUAACUUCGACUUCGAGUCGUUUUAAUUUUAUUA
This is a long non-coding RNA of Trifolium pratense (red clover), 1065 nucleotides long. RefSeq lists it as uncharacterized. The transcript is spliced from 2 exons. Lineage: Eukaryota; Viridiplantae; Streptophyta; Magnoliopsida; Fabales; Fabaceae. The record is from RefSeq and is a predicted model, not a curated record.